CGGCGCCAGCCGCCUCCCUCUCCGCGCUCUGCGACCGCCGCGGCGAACAUGGCCUCAGGAGUGCAAGUUGCCGACGAAGUAUGUCGCAUUUUUUAUGACAUGAAAGUUCGGAAGUGCUCCACGCCAGAAGAAAUCAAGAAAAGAAAGAAGGCUGUCAUCUUCUGUCUCAGUGCAGACAAAAAGUGCAUCAUCGUGGAGGAAGGCAAAGAGAUCUUGGUGGGAGAUGUUGGUGUCACCAUAACUGAUCCUUUCAAGCAUUUUGUGGGGAUGCUUCCUGAAAAAGAUUGUCGCUAUGCUCUGUAUGAUGCAAGCUUUGAAACAAAGGAAUCCAGAAAAGAGGAGUUGAUGUUUUUCCUGUGGGCACCAGAACUAACUCCUCUGAAGAGUAAAAUGAUCUACGCGAGCUCCAAGGAUGCCAUCAAAAAGAAGUUCCAAAGGCAUAAAACACGAAUGUCAAGCAAAUGGGCCAGAAGACCUCAAUCGGGCUUGUAUUGCUGAAAAGCUAGGUGGAUCCCUAAUUGUAGCUUUUGAAGGAUGCCCCGUGUAGACCAUCAUCUGGUGCCACAAAUCGAAAGCUUCCGUGUUUAAUGUUAUCCUCUUGCUAUGUAUAAGUAAAGCAGACAAUGUUUAGGCUAGGGACUCACUGAA
Molecule: non-coding RNA, 648 nt
Organism: Odocoileus virginianus texanus
Lineage: Eukaryota; Metazoa; Chordata; Mammalia; Artiodactyla; Cervidae
Source: RefSeq, a predicted model, not a curated record